Molecule: non-coding RNA, 35 nt
Organism: Myotis lucifugus (little brown bat)
Lineage: Eukaryota; Metazoa; Chordata; Mammalia; Chiroptera; Vespertilionidae
Source: Rfam
CUGUCUCUUGCUUCAACAGUGUUUGGACCGAACAG